Long non-coding RNA from Neltuma alba, 541 nucleotides. RefSeq lists it as uncharacterized. NCBI's taxonomy places the organism in Eukaryota, Viridiplantae, Streptophyta, Magnoliopsida, Fabales, Fabaceae. The record is from RefSeq and is a predicted model, not a curated record. The transcript is spliced from 2 exons.
ACUAAUCUGUGGCACAGAAUGGUGCCACCAAGUGACAUCACCAACAAGAAAACUCGUGUACUUUGGCUCUUAGAUUAUCAUGAUUUUGCGAAGUUGGUUUCUGCAAUUUAUCAAAUAAUUCAUCCACAACAGGUCACUGGCAAAAUUCAGGCAUCUUUUCCCCCAAGUCCAUAUCAAAAUAUAGGAUCCAAUUAAAUUGGCUUGCUCUGUAGCUAUAUGUUAUGGUAUCAUCUGGUGGUCUGAGUGUUUCUCUUUGGUUCAACUCUAUGACCAUAUCUACCAAGAUUACCUAAAGCCCCUCUUUCACAUCAGAUCUCCAAAGAGCAGUAUUGAUCAGGAAACUCCUUGUUAUGUAAAUCAGAUCCAAUGCAUUCAUAUUUCACACAAACUAUUAGUAGUUGUCUCAAGUGGAAGGGAUUUGAUAUUACUUAAAUAAAGUUAUGUGUUCGAAUUUUUAUACAUUGAGGGUUUUUUUCGGAAUGACGGUAAAAUCCUUGAAAAACAGCUUUUCAGUUAUAAUUUACGGAAUACAAUGUAAGUA